RNAcentral lists this ribosomal RNA (499 nucleotides) under Vibrio campbellii CAIM 519 = NBRC 15631 = ATCC 25920. RNAcentral's name for it is "bacterial SSU rRNA". It matches the Rfam family "Bacterial small subunit ribosomal RNA", at positions 78 to 565 of the family's 1533-position model. The record is from RNAcentral. Lineage: Bacteria; Pseudomonadati; Pseudomonadota; Gammaproteobacteria; Vibrionales; Vibrionaceae.
CUUCGGGGAACGAUAACGGCGUCGAGCGGCGGACGGGUGAGUAAUGCCUAGGAAAUUGCCCUGAUGUGGGGGAUAACCAUUGGAAACGAUGGCUAAUACCGCAUAAUGCCUACGGGCCAAAGAGGGGGACCUUCGGGCCUCUCGCGUCAGGAUAUGCCUAGGUGGGAUUAGCUAGUUGGUGAGGUAAGGGCUCACCAAGGCGACGAUCCCUAGCUGGUCUGAGAGGAUGAUCAGCCACACUGGAACUGAGACACGGUCCAGACUCCUACGGGAGGCAGCAGUGGGGAAUAUUGCACAAUGGGCGCAAGCCUGAUGCAGCCAUGCCGCGUGUGUGAAGAAGGCCUUCGGGUUGUAAAGCACUUUCAGUCGUGAGGAAGGUAGUGUAGUUAAUAGCUGCAUUAUUUGACGUUAGCGACAGAAGAAGCACCGGCUAACUCCGUGCCAGCAGCCGCGGUAAUACGGAGGGUGCGAGCGUUAAUCGGAAUUACUGGGCGUAAAG